This 310-nucleotide ribosomal RNA is filed under the name uncultured bacterium. Its description in RNAcentral is "partial 16S ribosomal RNA". It matches the Rfam family "Bacterial small subunit ribosomal RNA", at positions 503 to 807 of the family's 1533-position model. The record is from RNAcentral.
AAGAGACAGCAGUCGCCGCGGGAAUACGGAGGGUGCAAGCGUUAAUCGGAAUUACUGGGCGUAAAGCGCACGCAGGCGGUCUGACAAGUCAGAUGUGAAAUCCCCGGGCUUAACCUGGGAACUGCAUUUGAAACUGUCAGGCUGGAGUCUUGUAGAGGGGGGUGGAAUUCCAGGUGUAGCGGUGAAAUGCGUAGAGAUCUGGAGGAAUACCGGUGGCGAAGGCGGCCCCCUGGACAAAGACUGACGCUCAGGUGCGAAAGCGUGGGGAGCAAACAGGAUUAGAUACCCGCGUAGUCCCUGUCUCUUAUAC